GAACAUCAAAAGCUGGUGUAAGAUUUUAACAAACAAACAAACGACCGAUUCUCAAAUAUUUCAAACUCGAAAUUGAUUUUACUAUAUUCUGGAAAAUAUGGGUUUACUUGCAGUAAUGUACGUGACAACAAAAUUAAGAAAAUGUCAUAUAAAAAUCACAACUUUUGAAAACGUUUUAGUAACAAAUACGUCUUUCAACAUAUCUGCUCAUAUACCACUGACUUUUGAUCCUACGCGUAGUUGGUCCAAGAUCUUUGAAACAAUAAUUGAAACAAUUGAUUUUACUUCCACUAUGGAAUGAAUCCAACAAAAUUUGACCAAUCAAACAUAUUUGGAAAAAAGUAGCCAAUAAUUUCGGAUACGUUUAAACAAGGUGAUUUUGUCAAAAUACAUUUCAUACUUGUGAGUUAUGUGGUCUAAGAAACUUGAUGUAUUAAAACAAUAAUUAUAUUAGUA
Non-coding RNA from Paramuricea clavata, 456 nucleotides. NCBI's taxonomy places the organism in Eukaryota, Metazoa, Cnidaria, Anthozoa, Malacalcyonacea, Plexauridae. The record is from the annotation of a GenBank genome assembly.